CCACAUCCCAGCGACCAGCGAGCGGCCUUGAGAGGCUGUGGCUCUUGCUUGUUAGGCGGCCUGAGGACGCCAUGGCCGAGUGCCCGAUACUCGGGGAGGCAGUCACCGACCACCCGGACCGCCUGUGGGCCUGGGAGAAGUUCGUGUAUUUGGACGAGAAGCAGCGUGCCUGGCUGCCCUUAACCAUCGAGAUAAAGGAUAGGUUACAGUUACGGGUGCUCUUGCGUCAGGAAGACGUUGUCCUGGGGAGUCCUAUGACCCCCACCCAGAUAGGCCCAAGCCUGCUGCCUGUCAUGUGGCAGCUCUACCCUGAUGGACGAUACCGAUCCUCAGACUCCAGUUUCUGGCGCUUAGUGUACCACAUCAAGAUUGACGGCGUGGAGGACAUGCUUCUCGAGCUGCUGCCAGAUGACUGAUGUAUGGUCUUACAGCACCUGUCUCCUUUCACCCCAGGGCCUGAGCCUGGCCAGCCUACAAUGGGGAUGUUGUGUUUCUGUUCACCUUCGUUUGCUACGCCUGUGUCUUCUCUACCACGCUGGGGUCUGGGAGGAAUGGACAGACAGAGGAUGAGCUCUACCCAGGGCCUGCUGGACCUGCCUGUAGCCCACUCUGCUAGCCUUAGCACUACCACUCCUGCCAAGGAGGACUCCAUUUGGCAGAGCUUCUUCCAGGUGCCCAGCUAUACCUGUGCCUCGGCUUUUCUCAGCUGGCUGAUGGUCUUCGGCCUCUUUCUGUCCCUUCUGUCCCUCACAGCACUAGUGUUUCAUGUUGCACACCCACUCAGCUUUGUGAACUUGUGAGAACACAGCCGAUUUACCUGAGCAGGACCUCUGAAACCCUGGACCAGUGGUCUCACGUGGUGCUACGCCUGCACGUAAACACGCCUGCAAACACUGCCUGCCCACACAGGUUUAGGUGCAGCUCAAGGAAAGGCCUGAAAGGAGCCCUUAUCUGUGCUCAGGACUCAGAAGCCUCUGGGUCAGUGGUCCACAGCCCGGGACGCAGCAGGAGGCCAGGCCGGCGAGCCCUGUGGAUGAGCCCUCAGAACCCUUGGCCUGCCCACAUGGAAAAGGGAUAGAGGUUGGGUUCCCCCCUUUUAUAGAUGGUCACGCACCUGGGUGUUACGAAGUUGUAUGUGGCAUGAAUACUUUUUGUAAUGAUUGAUUAAAUGCAAGAUAGUUUAUCUAACU
This 1190-nucleotide long non-coding RNA is filed under the name Pongo abelii (Sumatran orangutan). Its description in RNAcentral is "lncRNA (ENSPPYG00000006119.2)". The record is from RNAcentral. Lineage: Eukaryota; Metazoa; Chordata; Mammalia; Primates; Hominidae.